UACGUAGGCAGCGAGCGUUGUUCGGAGUUACUGGGCGUAAAGCGUGCGUAGGCGGUGGUCCAAGUCUGGUGUGAAAUCUCCCGGCUCAACUGGGAGGGUGCGCCGGAAACUGGGCCGCUGGAGUAUGGGAGAGGCAAGCGGAAUUCCAGGUGUAGCGGUGAAAUGCGCAGAUAUCUGGAGGAACACCCGUGGUGCAGACGGCUUGCUGGACCAUGACUGACGCUGAGGCACGAAAGCGUGGGUAGCAAACAGG
This 253-nucleotide ribosomal RNA is filed under the name uncultured bacterium. Its description in RNAcentral is "partial 16S ribosomal RNA". It matches the Rfam family "Bacterial small subunit ribosomal RNA", at positions 524 to 776 of the family's 1533-position model. The record is from RNAcentral.